This 832-nucleotide unclassified non-coding RNA is filed under the name Leishmania donovani. Its description in RNAcentral is "gene:LdHU3.36.4380(CDS-product:Swi5_putative)". Lineage: Eukaryota; Euglenozoa; Kinetoplastea; Trypanosomatida; Trypanosomatidae. The record is from RNAcentral.
AAAGACUGUGAGCGUAACAUUUCGAAAACAAGGGCGCACGGAGUAUGCCCAUCGAAGAGGACGUCGCCACACCCUACCAGCUGCUGUGCUGGGAGCUGUCCGCGUUGCCGCUUGCCGAGCUUUUGCACCGCUACAACGCCUCAAGAGACCUCGCGCAGGAACUAAUUGGUCUGAUUGCACAGCAUCAGGACUGCACGAUCGCGCACGUUCACCGUAUGCUGGGUGUCCGAACAGAAGCAGCACCUCGGGGCGAUGACGACCCGGGAUGAUGGGCACAGCCAGAAAUAUCAACGCGCACAGAGAGCGUUUAUCUGUCGUCGUUGCACAAUGGCCAAGUUACGUACCAUGAGGGAAGGCGUCAGCUUUUGCUACACAGAUUCCCCCACCUUUCUGAACCUGCAAUGAUCUGAUUCAGUCGUCGAUACAGAUACAGACACGCACAGAGCAACAAUAGCAAUGAACUCUCUGUGUUUCUUGUAAAACCGUGGCGUACGUCGCGACCGCUGUCGAUGCAUGCGUUGGCUCCGGCGUUAGGUCUGGAGCUCGAAUACGCCCAUCCUCUCCGAGUGGGAAGAGACUCGUGCACCAUGCUACGUUUUUCUCCGCGCUUCCGCUUCCUCCCCUUCAUUCACUUGAUCGUGAUUGUCACAGGAAAGCCGCAUGCUCGUUGCCAUGACCCUCCCACCCAUCUCCCCCCCCCUUUCAAGCCUCCCUCGCUUCCCCUUACGGAUCUCUCUUCCCUCCCUUCCUACCGCCAUACUGUCGGCCCCUUCCUCUGCUUUUGCUCGUGUGCGCCAUUCCCUCUCUUAUGGUACGGUGAGGUUGUUGUCAG